This 327-nucleotide long non-coding RNA is filed under the name Gossypium barbadense (sea-island cotton). RNAcentral's name for it is "long non-coding RNA (GBAR_LNC015424)". The record is from RNAcentral. Lineage: Eukaryota; Viridiplantae; Streptophyta; Magnoliopsida; Malvales; Malvaceae.
CAGUUUUCAGAGAAAUUUUUUUUUAAGUGUUCUUGUCUUUCUCAUGGUUUGCUAAACACUUGAUUACCACAAAAUAAUUCAUACACUGGUCGAAAAUGAGAGCAAAUAUGAAUGAUUACUUGAAAGUGUUUAGAUGAUUUAGCACAAAGACGAGGAAGAGAGUCACCAUGUGAAGCCGCAAGGAGCAGUCACAGAUAACACCCUAUAGUUCAAAUAUUUCCUUUUCUUAUCGUAAAAUGGUCAUGGAUAACCCCCUUCGGCUAUUCUUUCUUCCCUUUAUCUUUAUUGUUAAUUAUUGUUUUUUGUGUCGAAAGGCAAGAUUGCAUC